RNAcentral lists this ribosomal RNA (274 nucleotides) under uncultured bacterium. Its description in RNAcentral is "partial 16S ribosomal RNA". It matches the Rfam family "Bacterial small subunit ribosomal RNA", at positions 523 to 796 of the family's 1533-position model. The record is from RNAcentral.
AUACAGAGGGUGCGAGCGUUAAUCGGAAUUACUGGGCGUAAAGGGUGCGUAGGUGGUUGAAUAAGUUGGAUGUGAAAGCCCCGGGCUUAACCUGGGAAGUGCAUACGAAACUGUUCAACUAGAGUACAGAAGAGGAGAGCGGAAUUUCCGGUGUAGCGGUGAAAUGCGUAGAUAUCGGAAGGAACACCAGUGGCGAAGGCGGCUCUCUGGACUGAAACUGACACUGAGGCACGAAAGCGUGGGUAGCAAACAGGAUUAGAAACCCUAGUAGUCC